Molecule: unclassified non-coding RNA, 645 nt
Filed under: uncultured Prochlorococcus sp.
Lineage: Bacteria; Bacillati; Cyanobacteriota; Cyanophyceae; Synechococcales; Prochlorococcaceae
Description: partial 16S-23S ribosomal RNA intergenic spacer; may also contain 16S ribosomal RNA and 23S ribosomal RNA
Rfam family: tRNA (bases 304-376)
Source: RNAcentral
UUGUGGAGGAGGACGCCGAAGGUGGGGCUAAUGACUGGGGUGAAGUCGUAACAAGGUAGCCGUACCGGAAGGUGCGGCUGGAUCACCUCCUAACAGGGAGACAACAAAAUGUUAAAUAUUAAUUUUGUCACCUUAGGUCGAUCGGUAUCUCACAUUCUUAAUUUAUUUAAGGAUUUUAUUUCCUAAGUUUUUCUAGGUCACACCCAUCGCUUUUCCUGGGCCAUUAGCUCAGGUGGUUAGAGCGCACCCCUGAUAAGGGUGAGGUCCCUGGUUCAAGUCCAGGAUGGCCCAUAUCUCUAUGUUGGGGGUAUAGCUCAGUUGGUAGAGCGCCUGCUUUGCAAGCAGGAUGUCAGCGGUUCGAGUCCGCUUACCUCCACUGAUUACCACCUCUUCCAUAAUCUGUAGAAAGGAAAUGUUUUGAGUUGUGAUCAAAUUCUGAACGAAUCUAGCUUCCUAAUGAAAUCAUUAAGAUGCUGGACUCAUUGAAUUAAUUUCAUUGUUUUCAGAGAACCUUGACAACUGCAUAGAUUAUUUUUAAAGACAAUAAGCAUCUUUAUGAUGCAGAUUUAUUAUUUGUGCUAAUGCAUUAAUAACAAUUCUAUUAAGCUGAUGCUUCAAUUAUUGAAGUUAUUGGUCAAGCUACAA